Wyeomyia smithii (pitcher-plant mosquito) is the source of this 168-nucleotide small nuclear RNA. RefSeq annotates it as U11 spliceosomal RNA. Lineage: Eukaryota; Metazoa; Arthropoda; Insecta; Diptera; Culicidae. The record is from RefSeq and is a predicted model, not a curated record. The transcript has a single exon.
CAAAAGGGUGCUUGCUCUACGUUUAUAUGGCACACGCGAUCGUCUUUCUUGAAAAAGGAUUCGGUUAGGUGAGGUAUGGUGAUCAAGAUAUACCUAGCACGUAAUUUUUUUCUCCGGAAAGCUGUUGACUGCUAAUAAUUUACUGAGUUUGUUUGACAUAGCUGUCGC